UUUCAUCAGGCUCCAUCCUGUGGCAUCAGGCAUUCCCAGGCUCUUCCUCUGACAGGCUAGUCUUCACCCCAUCCCAGCAGGCUUCAUCCCUGAACUGCCAGGCACCCUCCUCCCACCCGUUUGCUCAAUAGACUUUUGUAAGAGGCGCACUCUGGGGGAUUUCCAUGUCAUUUUUCGCCCAAGCUGGAUUUGUUUUCCUUCUCCCACGAAAGGCGAAAAAAGAAGUCACGUUGACAAGCAACUUCUGGCUGCUCUCCUCAGUUCUGCUGGCCUUUCUUAUGUUGUUGCAAACAGCCACAGGGGGCAGACUACUGACAGUGUUCUACAGCUAUUUACUGCAACAAGCAGCCCCACUUUUUGACAGAUGAACAGUGCCUUUAUUUUAAUUCUUCCCCCUAACUUGUGUGCAAAACUGUAAUACUGCUCAAACAAAGGUUUGUACUUUCAGCUGUAUCCUAGCAACCAUAGGCAGUGAAAAUACAUACAAUAGCACUUCCAUGAUUUUUUUAAUGGAACCUACUGCAGCUGGUAGAAUAACUAAACAUGCUUGGAUUCCUAGCAACAACAGGGAGUGGAAAUGUAAAAUUAGAGGGCAUGGUCAUUAGGAAAAUGUGUGAUUGAUCCUACAUAGAGGUAGAACUGCUGGUGUGAAUUGAAAAGACCGUGUUUGCAGCUAGCAUUGAGCACUCACUGCAGACAGUGCAAAUAGAAAAUGGAGGUAAAAACAGUGUCUUUAGUACAAAGUAAUGCUCCCAUGUGGAUAAGCCCUUAGAGGCUGGUAUCACCUCUUGAGUGUCUCUUGAGCCUUUAGAAACUGUCAGCAAGUACCAUUAAAGUUCCAAUACAAGCAGCCCUAUUUCGGGGGGGGGAUGGGACCACCCCCUCAGAUUUUGGGGGGAAAUUGUCUUUUUAAUUUGUGACAUGACAGACAAUUACAACCUCCAUUUAAAUAAUGAUAGCUUGUUUUAAGAACAGGAGCAAUGUAAGAAUAGGACCCUUUGAAAAGUUCAGUGAAUAAGGCAGGGCGAGUGCACAACAAAAGCCUCAUCUGGAAGAGCCCCCCAAAAUCUGCUCACUUAAGACUUUCCCUGAGGGUGAAUUUUUCAUGAUUAUAAUCACCCUAUAAUUUCUUAAGUGAUCCUGAAAAAAACCAGCCUGUAUAGUAACAUUACCCUUGGAGAGUUAAAAAUUAGAACUUUGUAUUAUGGGCUAGAGUUAGACUCCACCCCUUGGACUUCCCUUUUCUCUGAUUGUCAGUUUCAGUUGUGUUUUCUACCCACACAGCAAUAAAGAAGCAAGUUUGUUUGUCUGCAGUAGAAGUAAGAGUUUGUUUAUUCUGCAGUCAUUAUGAUGAGUAGAGCAGGAUUGGGUGCUUAUUGCUAAAGUGUGAAAUAAAGAGAUAAAUUAAUGUGAUCUGAAAAAAUUGUUACCCUAAGUUAACUCUUUACUGUUUUAAAGCACUCACAAUACUCAUAACCAUAGUGGCUAUUUUAUCUCCUCAAGGAAUAGAAACACUGCUAUGCAGGCUACAGUUAGAUGGCUGGCUGGCUGGCUGGCCGGCUGGCCACCUAGGCUGUAACUCAAUAUUUCCCUAAUAUGUUCAACUUAGUAUGAAAGAAAACUUUAUUGCAAACUUAGCCAUAGGCCAUGUGCAAAAUAUAUAUACAUACAUACAUUUAAAACAACAUAUCAUAUGCCGACACAUCUUGUGUAGAGUCUGUCAUAGUGUCCUUCUCUAUAACAAGGGAUUCUCUCAAUUUUUGUGCUGCCAUUGCAAAAUUGGCCGUUGCGAUGGUCACUGAAAUAAAAUCAUCUGAUAAAAGCAUGUUUAUCAUUUCUUUGUCAGAAGAAGGUCUUAGGAAGUUUAAAAAAGGGGAUAAUUUUUUUUUCCUAGGGUCAUUAUAAAGAGGGCAAUGAAGUAAAUAAUGGGCAAUGUCCUCAAUGGCUUUGCAGCCAUAGAUACAUUGUCGAUCGGCCACUGGAAUGCCACGAAACCGUCCUUCAAGGUAGGCUGUGGGCAUUACUUGGAAGCGAAGAGCUACAAAAGCUCUUCUAAUGGGGGCUCUAUCUAAAACUUCUAAGUAAUUUGACAUAUAAUGAUUACGUUUAAAAGAGGGAUACCAUCUUGAGAAGGGGGCCGACUCUAUGGAUGCACGGUCCUGAGCUGCGUCAUGGUCAAAAAUCCAUUCGCGAAGAGCAGUAUUAUUUAGCUCCAACAAUUUAGAUGGAGAAAGGUCAUAUUUUGAAAGUAGGGUUUGCCAUUCUGUGACCCCUUCGACAGACUGCAUUUGGUCUUGCCAACAUUGCUUAGCCAGGGUUACAUCUUCCAUAUUGAUAAGGCGAAGCCAAUAUCUUAAAAGUGCUAAGUCUAUACGGGCUGUGACUGAAGGCAGCCCCAAUUCGGCUCUGAGAUGGGCAGCCGGUGUUCCCUGUGGAAGGCCCAGCACUUGCCUCAUGAAAUCAUUCUGGAAAGACUCCAGUUUAGAUCUAGCUGCCGUUCCCCAUAGUUCAACACCGUAUAAGAUUUUAGGGAGUAUUUUUGCUUUUAAUAUUUUUAUCAUCGGGGGAAUAAGUUGGCCUCCUUGAGCAAAAAAAAACUUUUUGGCUGAGCCCAGAGCACAGGAUCUGGCUAAGGCUGCUGCCUUGAUUUGCAGGGUCCAGGAAAGUCUAUUGGACAGAAAAAUUCCCAGGUAUUUAAAGGUCGAGACCUGUUCUAAUGGGGCACCGUUUAGAAGCCAGCUAUUUUUAGCUUUCAUAAAUUUUCCGCAAAUCAUAACUUUGGAUUUAGACUGGUUAAUUGUCAGCUUCUGAGACUCACAAUACUCUACCAAUUUACGGAUCAUACGUCUGAGCCCAAUUUUUGUUAUGGAACAUAAAACCACGUCAUCGGCAUAAAGGAGGGUAGCUAUCUUUUUAUCUCCGAUUGAGGGGGGGAAGAAGGAAGGAGAUGUUAAUGCUUCCACAAUAUCGUUUAUAAAGAAAUUAAAUAAGAAGGGAGCCAAUAGGCAACCCUGCUUGACCCCCCCCACAAACUGGUAUUUUAGAUGACAAGGAACCCUUGUUCCCUAGAUGCACCUGGGCUACGUUAGAUUGGUAGAGAGCUCUAAUCAGCCAGUACAGCCUUUUAUCUAUAUUUGUUUGGGCCAAUUUUUGCGAUAGGAGUCCUCUGUCCACCGAAUCAAAAGCCGCCCUGAAAUCUACAAAGGCUAAAUAUAUGGAUGGAUAUGCUUUGGAUCUUGUUUUCUUCAUAAGGUGGUGCAAUAUGAAAAUCUGGUCUAUUGUACUUUUUUUUGGUCUAAAGCCGGCCUGUUCUUCGCAUAUUAUCAGAUUUAGCUGUUCCCAAUCUUUUAACUUAUUUAGGAGCAGUCGGCUAUAUAAUUUUGAUGAUGUAUUAAGGAGACUUAUAGGGCGAUAGUUUGCUGGAUUAACAGGGUCUCCCUUUUUAAAAAUAGGGACUAUAAUGCUAGUUAGCCAGCCAAGCGGAAUCCUACC
This is a long non-coding RNA of Rhineura floridana, 3492 nucleotides long. RefSeq lists it as uncharacterized. The record is from RefSeq and is a predicted model, not a curated record. Lineage: Eukaryota; Metazoa; Chordata; Lepidosauria; Squamata; Rhineuridae. The transcript is spliced from 3 exons.